Long non-coding RNA from Erinaceus europaeus (western European hedgehog), 3859 nucleotides. RefSeq lists it as uncharacterized. Lineage: Eukaryota; Metazoa; Chordata; Mammalia; Eulipotyphla; Erinaceidae. The transcript is spliced from 7 exons. The record is from RefSeq and is a predicted model, not a curated record.
UAGCCCACGUAAUUCUUUUUAGAAAAUUUUUGAAUCCCCCCAACCAUCCAUCAUGGCCUAUUUAUUUUCUAAGACCAUUCAACCACUCCAUAAGACAAUUCUGUAGUCGAUAAACUUCUCCUUGACAUUUUCUGGACAUCACCAUAUUAUUUUUCAGAUGUCCGAGGACAUUUCAAGGAUGGUUUCCAUAUCUGUGAAAUUAUUCUUUAAAAUGAUAUGGGUUGGUUUCUUCUAUUAUCUGUGGUUUAAUUUUCUUUUCUACUUUUUCUAUUUUGCCCAUCGGGGCUGUGGAUAACAGGUUUGAUUAUUAACAUAUUGCCCAACGGGGCUGUGGAUACCUGCCUUAUAGAUCACGACUAUCUGAUCAUUAUUCUUUUUUUGUCCAUCGGGGCCUCGGAUACCUGUUUUUAUUUUUUCUCCCCCUUAGCCCAUCGGGGCCUUGGAUAGCUGCUGUCCACUUCCUCCCCUCAAAAAUUAACAAAUUUUUGACCCACCGGGGUAACGGAUACCUGUUUUUUUUUUUAAAAUGUUUUUUUUUUUUGGUCCAUCGGGACCCUGGAUAUAUGAUUUUAUUAAAACUUUCAACUGCCCAUCGGGGCAUGGAUACCUGCUUAAUUUUUGUUUUUCCUUGCCCAUCGGGGCCACGGAUACCUGCUUAGAUUUUUUUUCCAUCGUCCAUCAGGUCUUGUGGAUGGAAAAGUGUUAAGUUUUGUGCUUUGUUCAUUAUCUGGAAUGUCUACAGAUUUUUGGCUGGUAAUUGGUGUGUGAGUAGACUUAGGGCACUAACCUGGAGAAGACUGCAGUCAGGCUACGGCAUUGUCCGAGGCAAAAAAUAUGGCCACCACUUAACACUUUCGUGCCUAUCCCGCCUUAGGGCAAAUCAUGCUGCGAGCAUGAUAGCCAGUGGUUAGAGAACCUGAUAAGACUGCAUUGUAAGAGCUGGUUUCGUUUCUGUUAGCUACUCUGCAUGGAUUAAAGUAUUGAGGAUCAUCCUUGUCAUGCAUGUUACAAGAGGCAAAUCGAAAGUAGCAGAAGAUUUAGACGCAGGGUUCGAAAUGGUGUCUAUAAAUUACGGCAUUGCUCAGCAUGCCUGUCUGCUUUGUUAGUGUGUCUAAGAUGGCGGGUUCAGUUUUCUGUGGUCUCUAAGUGGCGGGAAGGUCACAUUAUGGUGGUGUCUUUGUUCUUUGUAUGUAACAUGGCGGUGGAGAUGAUCUGUUACAUAGGAAAGAUGGCGGCCGGAGUACAUGCCACAUCUUAUGUAACGUGGCAGCACCUUGUGUAACAUGGCCGCAUCAAGUGUAAUAUGGCCGCAUCUCGAGUAACAUGGCCGCAUCUCGUGUAUCAUGGCCACAUCUCGUGUAUUAUGGCCGCAUCUCAUGUAUCAUGGCCACAUUUCGAGUAACAUGGCCACAUCUCGUGUAUCAUGGCCGCACCUUGUGUAUCAUGGCCGCACCUUGUGUAAUAUGGCCACAUCUUAUGUAACAUGGCCGCAUCUCGUGUAUCAUGGCCGCAACUCGAGUAACAUGGCCGCAUUUCGUGUAUCAUGGCCACAUCUUAUGUAACAUGGCGGGUUUUUGUCUUACCGCAUGCAUUUCCCGGUAGUCCUUGCUGCAGGGGCAAUAUGGCAGAUGUUAACAUGAGGAUGGUUAUGGCAUUUUGUCACAUGAAAGUCUUGGCGGUUUUUCAGUCCCGUACAUACUUGGCUGGCACUGUACAUGUGGGCUAGCUGCAUUGUUAAAGAUGGCGGGUUUUGCUGCGAAAAGUAGGAUAAAGAUAGGACUCAGAGUUGGACUGUCACAUUACCCACUCAAUUGGAAUAAGUAGCAGAAUUGGUCAUAAGCAAUUAGUGGAAGGUGGAAUUAAUCUGGUGAGUUAGCAUGGCUCCUUGUUGAGCAUUUCCUGCAACCAGUCCUAAAAUGGCUGACGGGACACCUUUUUUGGUAGCUCCCACUGGGUGGUGCCCAAGGCCCUUCAAGGACACGUGGCAUUCCACCUUCCUCCCCACUACCCGGCAGCCUCCCUGCCAGCAUUGCUUCUUGCAGCGCUGGUUUUUUACCUGUACCGGCUGAACCUCACGUCGUUCAUGGACGUUUGUGGCGUGGCCCAAGUCUGGCAUCUGCUGUUCCACUCACUCUGUGUUCACGGGCAGUGCUCCAUGCCUGAGGACUGUGAACAAGGUGGUCACUCGUGGCCUGAAUCGCAGACGAUAGCAGCACGAUCGCAGCAUGACUCGCAGAUGACCGAUCAGUCUUAAGAAGCAUGUACCUGAUGACCAGUGUCUCUCAUUAUAAUAAGAGUGAUGGGUCUGUGGAUAAACUGAUUUGCUAUUUAAGUAUUGGUGAGUUCCAGAAUGGAACUUUUAAGACUUAUCUUUGGGCUCUACCACUUUAUCUGAUUUCUUCAUCUGGAGCACCAACCAGACCCUGCUUGUUUCAAGAAGAUCACGGUCAAGAGGAAUAAAUGACAGAAGGAACAUAUGCCGAGGAAUGGAUUCUGAACCGAUUUUGUACCUCUUCUGAAGAGAAAGGAUGAAUCAGUAUUAGAAGAAUUGAAAUCUUAACUGGACAGUAUCCAAAGAUUUCCCUCAGAAUAGGCUUGUUGCUUUACAGUACUGGUGAUCCAUUCUCUUUGAUGAUCCCCUAGGUGGAGAUGGGGCAUGAGGAUCCUCCAAGGGAAAGACUCAUCAUCACUGGGCAACAGCCUUAGGCUAGGAGAUUUUAAUGAGAUUCUUCCUGGGCCCAAAGGAUAAUUGAAGUCUUGAGACAACUACCAUAUGUUAAAGGAGAUUAUGGACAGCAGCCACAUCAGCAAUACUGGUCAAGAAUUGUUCUGCUGUAGAACUUUGCCAAUCAUUUGCAUACCUCAAGAUUCCUUGAAAUGUCCAUUGGAUAAAACAUUCAGCAAACUACUUGAGAAGAUAUGAAUCCUGUCUUUCUGUACUGUACUUCUUUAUUGAGGGAAGAAGCCUCACAACUGUUAAUGGGAGCUUGACCAGAAAUGGCACAAAGUUACCUGCUAUCAGGCAGGGCCUAAAGAACCAGGACCCUGCAUACUCUAGGUUACUCUUGAUCUUUUCAUAGCUGCUAAAUCGUCAGCCCUCCCCAAAGCAAUUUAGAGGGCAAGAAAUUUGAACACACCAAAGAAAGGUCAACGUUAUCUGGCAUUCUAGCAUUUUGAAACAGAAUGAAAUAAUUUGUUGGUGUGAUGGUCCUUCUCUUUCCAUCUCUUAGCCUUUGCUUAUGUCUGCCUUUGUUUAUCUUUCACUGCUAAGUGUAUAUUUCUUUGCCUGUUUGUUUUCUCCUUAAGUGUCUUUGGUCUUUUUCUCUAGCUACUGCCAAUUGCUGUGAUUCUCUUGCUAGUUUCUUCUGUGUGAAUCUUUGUCUCACUUUUUUGCUUCUAAGUGUGGUCUAAGAUGUCUUUCUCUUGUCUUUUUCCAUUGUUUUUCAUUUUGUUACUGGCUUUCUUUGUUCUUCUUUAUGACUCUGCUUUCACUCUCCUUGCCCUUUGUGUCUGAAUUGUCUGCUUUAUGCUAUGUUAUUGUUCUGCUUGCUUCACCUUAUCUCUCUGAACUCUGAUUGUCUGCUGUUCUCAUUACCUAUUGCUUUUUCACCUUACUGGUUUGAUAUUUCACCUUUUCUGCUUCUGGCCUUUCUUCUGUUUCUUCUCAUUUGCUGUCUCACUUUUGUGCCAUUCUCAGUCAUUGUCCUCUUUUGCCUUUGUGUGCCUCAGUAUCUCUUUGUUAUUUGUGAAUUUCCAGUUCAGCACUUUGUUUUCUUCUCUGCUCUUUCACUUCUGCACACCUUCAUGGUUCUAUGUCUUCUUCCUCUCUUAGAUUUCAUGCAAUCUUUCCUUGCUUAUU